Molecule: ribosomal RNA, 465 nt
Filed under: Vreelandella stevensii
Lineage: Bacteria; Pseudomonadati; Pseudomonadota; Gammaproteobacteria; Oceanospirillales; Halomonadaceae
Description: partial 16S ribosomal RNA
Rfam family: Bacterial small subunit ribosomal RNA
Source: RNAcentral
CCUACGGGAGGCUGCAGUGGGGAAUAUUGGACAAUGGGGGGAACCCUGAUCCAGCCAUGCCGCGUGUGUGAAGAAGGCCCUCGGGUUGUAAAGCACUUUCAGUGAGGAAGAACGCCUGGUGGUUAAUACCCAUCAGGAAAGACAUCACUCACAGAAGAAGCACCGGCUAACUCCGUGCCAGCAGCCGCGGUAAUACGGAGGGUGCGAGCGUUAAUCGGAAUUACUGGGCGUAAAGCGCGCGUAGGUGGCUUGAUAAGCCGGUUGUGAAAGCCCCGGGCUCAACCUGGGAACGGCAUCCGGAACUGUCAAGCUAGAGUGCAGGAGAGGAAGGUAGAAUUCCCGGUGUAGCGGUGAAAUGCGUAGAGAUCGGGAGGAAUACCAGUGGCGAAGGCGGACUUCUGGACUGACACUGACACUGAGGUGAGAAAGCGUGGGUAGCAAACAGGAUUAGAUACCCCGGUAGUC